Long non-coding RNA from Osmerus eperlanus (European smelt), 539 nucleotides. RefSeq lists it as uncharacterized. The transcript is spliced from 3 exons. NCBI's taxonomy places the organism in Eukaryota, Metazoa, Chordata, Actinopteri, Osmeriformes, Osmeridae. The record is from RefSeq and is a predicted model, not a curated record.
GCAGGACUUGCAUGUGCCACGAUGACAACGCAAAGGUAAUGGAUGCACUGGAUAAAAGAAAGAUGUGAUCUGAGCCAUAGUCAGAUAGGUGCUGAAAUGGAAAGCUCCGGUGAUGGAUGACCUCUACUCAUACCUCAGGCGAGAGAUAGCGGCCUUCCAGGUCCACGUUGAGGAAUGCAAACACUCCUUUGACAUGGACAGUCUUGGCUUGGUCUUGCGAGCCUUGACUGUGAAACACAAAAGUGAAAUUGACAGUUUGGAACAGCUACAGGAGCUUGUGUCAGACAUUCAAGCGGAAUCCAAAGAGUCAGUCGGUGCCAGUGUUUACUGCAUGGGCUCCGACAUCAAAACUUGCAUUUCCUGGCUGCUGUCUUUCAUGCAGCAUCUCAGAGCAAUGAAGGAUGCCUUCGAUGAACAAGUGGUGGUCCCUCUCUGUGAAAACCUGUAUGUCCUGGAGGAGCAUGGUGACCCUGACAGCACAAGCCUGGUGACUCUGAGCCAGAGCAGCUCCAGAGAGCUGCCGUCUGUCUCCAAGGUGG